This 58-nucleotide transfer RNA is filed under the name Staphylococcus aureus. RNAcentral describes it as "tRNA-Val". It matches the Rfam family "tRNA", at positions 17 to 71 of the family's 71-position model. From Rfam's summary of the family: Transfer RNA (tRNA) molecules are approximately 80 nucleotides in length. Their secondary structure includes four short double-helical elements and three loops (D, anti-codon, and T loops). The record is from RNAcentral. Lineage: Bacteria; Bacillati; Bacillota; Bacilli; Caryophanales; Staphylococcaceae. RNAcentral also lists the same sequence under 4 other names.
GGAGAGCAUCUGCCUUACAAGCAGAGGGUCGGCGGUUCGAACCCGUCAUUCUCCACCA